This 255-nucleotide ribosomal RNA is filed under the name uncultured bacterium. Its description in RNAcentral is "partial 16S ribosomal RNA". It matches the Rfam family "Bacterial small subunit ribosomal RNA", at positions 524 to 771 of the family's 1533-position model. The record is from RNAcentral.
UACGAAGGGGGCUAGCGUUGCUCGGAAUCACUGGGCGUAAAGCGCACGUAGGCGGACUCUUAAGUCGGUGGUGAAAUCCUGGAGCUCAACUCCAGAACUGCCUUCGAUACUGGAGAGUCUUGAGUCCGGAAGAGGAGAGUGGAAUUCCCGGUGUAGGCGGAUGAAAUGCGCAGAAUAUCGGGAAGAACACCCGGUGGGCGAAGGCGGCGAUCUGGGUAGAUACUGACGUGGAGGUGACGAAAGCGUGGGGAGCAA